This 441-nucleotide ribosomal RNA is filed under the name uncultured bacterium. RNAcentral describes it as "partial 16S ribosomal RNA". It matches the Rfam family "Bacterial small subunit ribosomal RNA", at positions 338 to 795 of the family's 1533-position model. The record is from RNAcentral.
CCUACGGUCGACAGCAGUGGGGAAUAUUGCACAAUGGGGGAAACCCUGAUGCAGCAACGCCGCAUGAGUGAGGAAGUAUUUCGGUAUGUAAAGCUCUAUCAGCAGGGAAUAGAAAAGAAGGUACCUGAAAAAGAAGCCCCGGCUAACUACGUGCCAGCAGCCGCGGUACUACGGCGGGGGCAAGCGUUAUCCGGAUUUACUGGGUGUAAAGGGAGCGUAGGAGGAAAGGCAAGUCAGAAGUGAAAGCCCAAGGCUUAAACAUUGGCCUGCCUUUGAAACUGGCAAACUAGAGUACGGGAGAGGUAAGAGGAAUUCGUAGUGUAGCGGUGAAAUGCGUAGAUAUCAGGAGGAACACCAGUGGCGAAGGCGGCUUACUGGACCGCAACUGACGUUGAGGCUCGAAAGCGUGGGUAGCAAACAGGAUUAGAUACCCUUGUAGUC